UGGCUCAGGAUGAACGCUGGCGGCGUGCUUAACACAUGCAAGUCGAACGAUGACUUUUGUGCUUGCACAGAAUGAUUAGUGGCGAACGGGUGAGUAACACGUGAGUAACCUGCCCCUGACUCUGGGAUAAGCCUGGGAAACUGGGUCUAAUACUGGAUAUGCACCGUAGACCGCAUGGUUUUUGGUGGAAAGAAUUUUGGUCAGGGAUGGACUCGCGGCCUAUCAGCUUGUUGGUGAGGUAAUGGCUCACCAAGGCGACGACGGGUAGCCGGCCUGAGAGGGUGACCGGCCACACUGGGACUGAGACACGGCCCAGACUCCUACGGGAGGCAGCAGUGGGGAAUAUUGCACAAUGGGCGAAAGCCUGAUGCAGCGACGCCGCGUGAGGGAUGACGGCCUUCGGGUUGUAAACCUCUUUCAGUAGGGAAGAAGCGAAAGUGACGGUACCUGCAGAAGAAGCGCCGGCUAACUACGUGCCAGCAGC
This 484-nucleotide ribosomal RNA is filed under the name Paeniglutamicibacter antarcticus. RNAcentral describes it as "bacterial SSU rRNA". It matches the Rfam family "Bacterial small subunit ribosomal RNA", at positions 20 to 515 of the family's 1533-position model. Lineage: Bacteria; Bacillati; Actinomycetota; Actinomycetes; Micrococcales; Micrococcaceae. The record is from RNAcentral.